This 460-nucleotide ribosomal RNA is filed under the name uncultured bacterium. RNAcentral's name for it is "partial 16S ribosomal RNA". It matches the Rfam family "Bacterial small subunit ribosomal RNA", at positions 338 to 795 of the family's 1533-position model. The record is from RNAcentral.
CCUACGGGAGACAGCAGUGAGAAAUAUUGGUCAAUGGACGAGAGUCUGAACCAGCCAAGUAGCGUGAAGGAUGACUGCCCUAUGGGUUGUAAACUUCUUUUAUAUGGGAAUAAAAUGUUCCACGUCCUGGAUUUUGUAUGUACCAUAUGAAUAAGGAUCGGCUAACUCCGUGCCAGCAGCCGCGGUAAUACGGAGGAUCCGAGCGUUAUCCGGAUUUAUUGGGCUUAAAGGGAGCGUAGGUGGAAUGUUAAGUCAGUUGUGAAAGUUUGCGGCUCAACCGUAAAAUUGCAGUUGAAACUGGCAGUCUUGAGUACAGUAGAGGUGGGCGGAAUUCGUGGUGUAGCGGUGAAAUGCUUAGAUAUCACGAAGAACUCCGAUUGCGAAGGCAGUUCACUGGACUGCAACUGACACUGAGGCUCGAAAGUGUGGGUAUCAAACAGGAUUAGAUACCCGGGUAGUC